This 395-nucleotide unclassified non-coding RNA is filed under the name soil metagenome. RNAcentral describes it as "partial contains 5.8S ribosomal RNA, internal transcribed spacer 2, and large subunit ribosomal RNA". The stretch from base 1 to 122 matches the Rfam family "5.8S ribosomal RNA", at positions 35 to 154 of the family's 154-position model. The record is from RNAcentral.
GAUGAAGAACGUAGCGAAAUGCGAUACUUGGUGUGAAUUGCAGAAUCCCGUGAACCAUCGAGUCUUUGAACGCAAGUUGCGCCCGAAUCCAUCAGGUUGAGGGCACGUCUGCCUGGGCGUCACAUAUCGUUGCCCAAUGCCUAUUGCAGUGCAAUAGGAAUUUCUAGGGCGAAUGAUGGCUUCCCGUGAGCGUUGUUGCCUCGCGGUUGGUUGAAAAUCGAGUCCUUGGUAGGGUGUGCCAUGGUAGAUGGUGGUCGAGUUAGAACGAUACCGAUCAUGUGCAUGCUCCCCAAAAUAUGGCCUCUAUGACCCACACGCGUCUUUUGACGCUCAUGACGAGACCUCAGGUCAGGCGGGGCUACCCGCUGAAUUUAAGCAUAUCAAUAAGCGGAGGA